AUUUAAGGUAGGUGGGUUCAGAGCACGGCGGCGGUUGCCAAGAGUUCCGUGCGUGCGACAAAGUGUCCAUUGGGCUUCCGACGAGUGCUGGAUCGGGGAACUUGAACGGUGGAGCAACGGAAUGCAAGGUUAAUGGGUGAGUAAAAUUUAGGGUUUGAUCCUGUUAUCAUGACUACCUUGAAAUGUAAUUUCAUUUGGGGAAAAAAGAAAAGUAAAAAUAAUAAUAUUAGUAGUAAUAAUAAUAGCAAUAAUAAUAAUAAUAUCUUCUGAUGCUACUAGUUGAUGAGAGUGUAGAUGAAUUUAGGCUUUUGAGGUUAGUAAUCUCUAUUUUUAUGGUUGUAUGGUGUCUUUAAUUGAUGGAAAUUUGAUUUAUGCUUGAUGUUAGGUGAUCAAUUCCAUCAUGAACGGUUUGAUUCAUUUCUACAAGGAGGUGGAACUUUAUGCAUGGUUUUUCUUUUUUUUGUCAAUAAACUUUAUGCAUGGUUUAGUUCUAGAACCUAGAAUGACAUAAUAGUUUAACUCUGAGAAAGUACAGAUAAGAGAGCCGUUAAUAAUUCAUGUGAUCCCCAUGAUUCUCUCCUCACUGGAUCGCACUGAAAUUUUUGAAUCUCCUGAAUAGUCUCACAUUCUAACACUUUUACGUUGUGGAAUGUCCUAGUGGAACCACUGUAUUUUUUUAGUUUUCAAAACCUUAGCCAAUUCUUUGAUGUAACGAGGUGUUCAUUAGCUUUUCCUUCAUGGGAAAGGUAAUUUUCAAAUGUCAAAUACAUACUGGCCAUCAGUUGUGCAUUUGUUUUGAUUAUCCUUUCAUGUUUUCUCCAAAAUAAGGUGGUGAAUUGAAAUAGUUCCAAGUACUAUGUAGGGGCA
RNAcentral lists this unclassified non-coding RNA (867 nucleotides) under Hevea brasiliensis (rubber tree). The record is from RNAcentral. Lineage: Eukaryota; Viridiplantae; Streptophyta; Magnoliopsida; Malpighiales; Euphorbiaceae.